AAACCUCUUUUAGUAGGGAAGAAGCGUAAGUGACGGUACCUGCAGAAAAAGCACCGGCUAACUACGUGCCAGCAGCCGCGGUAAUACGUAGGGUGCAAGCGUUGUCCGGAAUUAUUGGGCGUAAAGAGCUCGUAGGCGGUUUGUCGCGUCUGCUGUGAAAACCGGAGGCUCAACCUCCGGCCUGCAGUGGGUACGGGCAGACUAGAGUGCGGUAGGGGAGAUUGGAAUUCCUGGUGUAGCAGUGGAAUGCGCAGAUAUCAGGAGGAACACCGAUGGCGAAGGCAGAUCUCUGGGCCGUAACUGACGCUGAGGAGCGAAAGCAUGGCGAGCGAACAGGAUUAGAUACCCUGGUAGUCCAUGCCGUAAACGUUGGGCGCUAGAUGUAGGGGCCAUUCCACGGUUUCUGUGUCGCAGCUAACGCAUUAAGCGCCCCGCCUGGGGAGUACGGCCGCAAGGCUAAAACUCAAAGGAAUUGACGGGGGCCCGCACAAGCGGCGGAGCAUGCGGAUUAAUUCGAUGCAACGCGAAGAACCUUACCAAGGCUUGACAUAUACCGGUAACGGCCAGAAAUGGUCGCCGCGCAAGGUCGGUAUACAGGUGGUGCAUGGUUGUCGUCAGCU
This 620-nucleotide ribosomal RNA is filed under the name uncultured Curtobacterium sp. Its description in RNAcentral is "bacterial SSU rRNA". It matches the Rfam family "Bacterial small subunit ribosomal RNA", at positions 427 to 1060 of the family's 1533-position model. The record is from RNAcentral. Lineage: Bacteria; Bacillati; Actinomycetota; Actinomycetes; Micrococcales; Microbacteriaceae.